This 78-nucleotide transfer RNA is filed under the name Burkholderia pseudomallei. Its description in RNAcentral is "tRNA-Arg". The record is from RNAcentral. Lineage: Bacteria; Pseudomonadati; Pseudomonadota; Betaproteobacteria; Burkholderiales; Burkholderiaceae.
GCACCCGAUAAACAUUCGUAGCGACCAACUGCCCUCCGAAGGCAGGGGUUGCUGGUUCGAUCCCAGCCGGGCGCGCCA